This 76-nucleotide transfer RNA is filed under the name Bacillota bacterium. Its description in RNAcentral is "Firmicutes bacterium (anaerobic digester metagenome) tRNA-Arg". It matches the Rfam family "tRNA". Rfam says of the family: Transfer RNA (tRNA) molecules are approximately 80 nucleotides in length. Their secondary structure includes four short double-helical elements and three loops (D, anti-codon, and T loops). Further hydrogen bonds mediate the characteristic L-shaped molecular structure. tRNAs have two regions of fundamental functional importance: the anti-codon, which is responsible for specific mRNA codon recognition, and the 3' end, to which the tRNAs corresponding amino acid is attached (by aminoacyl-tRNA synthetases). tRNAs cope with the degeneracy of the genetic code in two manners: having more than one tRNA (with a specific anti-codon) for a particular amino acid; and 'wobble' base-pairing, i.e. permitting non-standard base-pairing at the 3rd anti-codon position. The record is from RNAcentral. Lineage: Bacteria; Bacillati; Bacillota.
GCGCCUGUAGCUCAGGGGAUAGAGCAACGGAUUCCUAAUCCGUGUGUCGUAGGUUCGAUUCCUACCAGGCGCACCA